AUGCAGAAUUAUUUAUAGCUUUAAUAACUAUAACUAACAAACAUAUGGAGGUAUUAGUUAAAGUUCAGUUCAAGCAGAAUAAUAGAAAGUUUACUCUAUAAAUAAAUAAACUCCAAGAACCACAAAAUAUGCAGUGUGAGAUGUAAGCAAUUUGGUUGAGACAGAACUCUAUAAUUGAAUGAAUCCAUUGUGCAUUCCUUGGCAUUUUAACUCAAAUAAAGCAAGUUAGCCAACUUAAAAUCCUUUUUGCAAGGAAAUGUGGAUACAAAUCUGUAACAAAUGACUGAAAAUGUAACAAAUCUGAAUAGAAAUGGACUUAUUCACUGUAAGGAA
This 333-nucleotide long non-coding RNA is filed under the name Bos taurus (domestic cattle). Its description in RNAcentral is "long non-coding RNA NONBTAT025130". The record is from RNAcentral. Lineage: Eukaryota; Metazoa; Chordata; Mammalia; Artiodactyla; Bovidae.